GGGUGGUUGGCAGAUCGGUUUAUGCAUCCGACUUUUAAUCGGAUCGAGAGAGGUUCAACUCCUCUACCACCCU
Molecule: transfer RNA, 73 nt
Filed under: Oxynema acuminatum PCC 6304
Lineage: Bacteria; Bacillati; Cyanobacteriota; Cyanophyceae; Oscillatoriales; Oscillatoriaceae
Also listed under: 3 other names
Description: tRNA-Lys (TTT) (tRNA-Lys-TTT-2-1)
Rfam family: tRNA
About the family: Transfer RNA (tRNA) molecules are approximately 80 nucleotides in length. Their secondary structure includes four short double-helical elements and three loops (D, anti-codon, and T loops). Further hydrogen bonds mediate the characteristic L-shaped molecular structure. tRNAs have two regions of fundamental functional importance: the anti-codon, which is responsible for specific mRNA codon recognition, and the 3' end, to which the tRNAs corresponding amino acid is attached (by aminoacyl-tRNA synthetases). tRNAs cope with the degeneracy of the genetic code in two manners: having more than one tRNA (with a specific anti-codon) for a particular amino acid; and 'wobble' base-pairing, i.e. permitting non-standard base-pairing at the 3rd anti-codon position.
Source: Rfam by way of RNAcentral